Molecule: microRNA precursor, 78 nt
Filed under: Bombyx mori (domestic silkworm)
Lineage: Eukaryota; Metazoa; Arthropoda; Insecta; Lepidoptera; Bombycidae
Description: mir-2807 microRNA precursor family
Rfam family: mir-2807 microRNA precursor family
Source: Rfam by way of RNAcentral
UUAACUCAGUUUUGUAUGGAACGUUUGCCUACGUUUGCCGCUAGGGGCGUUGUUCCAACUGCAUACAGAUUUGAGUUA